RNAcentral lists this ribosomal RNA (319 nucleotides) under uncultured bacterium. Its description in RNAcentral is "bacterial SSU rRNA". It matches the Rfam family "Bacterial small subunit ribosomal RNA", at positions 29 to 371 of the family's 1533-position model. The record is from RNAcentral.
AACGAACGCUGGCGGCAUGCCUAACACAUGCAAGUCGAACGAGACCUUCGGGUCUAGUGGCGCACGGGUGCGUAACGCGUGGGAAUCUGCCCUUUGCUUCGGAAUAACAGUUAGAAAUGACUGCUAAUACCGGAUGAUGUCUUCGGACCAAAGAUUUAUCGGCAAAGGAUGACGCCCGCGUAGGAUUAGGUAGUUGGUAGGGGUAAAGGCCUACCAAGCCGACGAUCCUUAGCUGGUCUGAGAGGAUGAUCAGCCACACUGGGACUGAGACACGGCCCAGACUCCUACGGGGAGGCAGCAGGUGGGGAAUAUUGGACAA